UACGUAGGAGGCAAGCGUUAUCCGGAAUUACUGGGCGUAAAGGGCGUCUAGGCGGUGGGUCAAGCGGGGUGUGAAAGCUCUCGGCUUAACUGAGAGAGUGCGCUCCGAACUGGCCGACUAGAGGGCAGGCGACGGCGGUGGAAUACCCGGUGGAGUGGUGAAAUGCGUAGAGAUCGGGUGGAACACCAGUGGCGAAGGCGGCCGCCGAGCCUGUUACUGACGCUGAAGCGCGAGAGCGUGGGGAGCAAACGGGAUUAGAAACCCCCGUAGUCC
RNAcentral lists this ribosomal RNA (273 nucleotides) under uncultured bacterium. Its description in RNAcentral is "partial 16S ribosomal RNA". It matches the Rfam family "Bacterial small subunit ribosomal RNA", at positions 524 to 796 of the family's 1533-position model. The record is from RNAcentral.